Molecule: ribosomal RNA, 464 nt
Filed under: uncultured bacterium
Lineage: Bacteria
Description: partial 16S ribosomal RNA
Rfam family: Bacterial small subunit ribosomal RNA
Source: RNAcentral
GACGAACGCUGGCGGCGUGCUUAACACAUGCAAGUCGAACGGAAAGGCCCUGCUUGCAGGGUACUCGAGUGGCGAACGCGUGAGUAACACGUGGGUGAUCUGCCCUGCACUUCGGGAUAAGCCUGGGAAACUGGGUCUAAUACCGGAUAGGAGCCAUCUUUAGUGUGAUGGUUGGAAAGUUUUUUCGGUGUAGGAUGAGCUCGCGGCCUAUCAGCUUGUUGGUGGGGUAAUGGCCUACCAAGGCGGCGACGGGUAGCCGGCCUGAGAGGGUGGCCGGCCACAUUGGGACUGAGAUACGGCCCAGACUCCUACGGGAGGCAGCAGUGGGGAAUAUUGCACAAUGGGCGCAAGCCUGAUGCAGCGGCGCCGCGUGGGGGAUGACGGCCUUCGGGUUGUAAACCCCUUUCGCUAGGGACGAAGCUUUUGUGACGGUACCUAGAAAAGAAGCACCGGCUAACUACGUG